GCCAGGUAGCUAAAGUGGUUCAGCGGGUGCGGCUCUUUAUAAGUAGCCUUCAAUAAUUCUCUGCACCGUACGCGGGUUCGAAUCCCGCCCUGGUCA
This is a non-coding RNA of Mycena crocata, 96 nucleotides long. The record is from the annotation of a GenBank genome assembly. NCBI's taxonomy places the organism in Eukaryota, Fungi, Basidiomycota, Agaricomycetes, Agaricales, Mycenaceae.